This 305-nucleotide ribosomal RNA is filed under the name uncultured bacterium. RNAcentral's name for it is "bacterial SSU rRNA". It matches the Rfam family "Bacterial small subunit ribosomal RNA", at positions 337 to 634 of the family's 1533-position model. The record is from RNAcentral.
GCCUACGGGGGGCAGCAGUAGGGAAUCUUCCACAAUGGGCGAAAGCCUGAUGGAGCAACGCCGCGUGGGUGAAGAAGGUCUUCGGAUCGUAAAACCCUGUUGUUAGAGAAGAAAGUGCGUGAGAGUAACUGUUCACGUUUCGACGGUAUCUAACCAGAAAGCCACGGCUAACUACGUGCCAGCAGCCGCGGUAAUACGUAGGUGGCAAGCGUUAUCCGGAUUUAUUGGGCGUAAAGGGAACGCAGGCGGUCUUUUAAGUCUGAUGUGAAAGCCGUCGGCUUAACCGGAGUAGUGCAUUGGAAUCU